AAGCCCGUAGCUCAAUGGUAGAGCGUUCGACUCAAAAACCAAAGGUCGCGGGUUUU
Molecule: transfer RNA, 56 nt
Filed under: Schistocephalus solidus
Lineage: Eukaryota; Metazoa; Platyhelminthes; Cestoda; Diphyllobothriidea; Diphyllobothriidae
Rfam family: tRNA
About the family: Transfer RNA (tRNA) molecules are approximately 80 nucleotides in length.
Source: Rfam by way of RNAcentral